CUUCAGUCAGCCUGCAAACCUAGAGGCCCGUUUGCAAAAAAAAAAAAAAAAAAAUACAGCGUGGAAAAGCCUCCACCGAGUUCGUACAAAGCCCUAGCUCUCUGAAUGGAUUCUUUGGUUUGUUUUUACUUUAACUGAUUUCAGCCUUUAGUCCUGCGCAAACCGCUCUGCUGCUGAGAGAUUUAAAGGAAAGGUUCUGCGCCUUUAAGAACUCAAUUCAGCUGCUCCACGGACUGAAGCACGCCAAGCCUCCCUGUCCUUCACCAUCUCCCGGAGCUUGCUCGGACUCCUGUCCAUUGAACCUUAAGGACUCCAGAGACCAGAGCAACUGAUAAUGUGCCAGGCCUGGAAAAGACCCCACCCAGGGAAGUCUUCCUCUUCCUGUUUCACAGUAACUGAAUGAACCAAGUUGUGGUAUCAACAUUUGAGAAGCUCCCCCAUUGCCUCCCCAGCAAUGCAACAGAGAAGUUUCCAUGGCCUAUAGCAGAAGAUGUUAGGACAGAAUCCAAACCCUCAGUAACACGACACGGAAAAUACAGAUUUGAGAAACAGAUGGUCUUACUUCCCAAUAAGGGGGAAAAAAUGAUUUUACGCAGGUUGGAGUGGAACCAGCGAAGACUUGCCACUCAAUUCCAGCACUAUGUGCCAGUCACAUACUUUACAGUGAAGCACUUGAACCCUCCCUCCAACAACCCUACCAUGGAAUCUACUAUUAACUGCACUUGAUAGAUUUGAAAACAGUCACGUGGGCUUUCUGGGGGCUCAGUGGUAAAGAAUCCACCUGCCAAUGCAGGAGACACGGGUUCAAUCCCUGGUCCAGGAAGAUCCCACAUGCCAUGGGACAGCUAAGCCAGUGUGCUACGGCUACUGAGCCUGAGCUCUGGAGCCAGCAAGCCACAACUGCUGAGCCCGCAGGCCCUAGAGCCUGUGUGCCACGAGAAAAGCCACUGAGAUGAGAAGCCUGAGCACUGCAACCAGAGAGUAACCGCCCUACCACGAGAAAAGCCAUUGAAAUGAGAAGCCUGAGCACUGCAACUACAGAGUAACCGCCCUGCUCGCUGCGACUAGAGAAAAGCCUGCUUGCAGCAACGAAGACCCAGCACAGCCA
Long non-coding RNA from Bos taurus (domestic cattle), 1108 nucleotides. The record is from Ensembl. NCBI's taxonomy places the organism in Eukaryota, Metazoa, Chordata, Mammalia, Artiodactyla, Bovidae.